UACGUAGGGUCCGAGCGUUGUCCGGAAUUAUUGGGCGUAAAGGGCUCGUAGGCGGUUUGUCACGUCGGGAGUGAAAACUCAGGGCUCAACCCUGAGCGUGCUUCCGAUACGGGCAGACUAGAGGUAUGCAGGGGAGAACGGAAUUCCUGGUGUAGCGGUGGAAUGCGCAGAUAUCGGGAGGAACACCGGUGGCGAAGGCGGUUCUCUGGGCCUUACCUGACGCUGAGGAGCGAAAGCGUGGGGAGCGAACAGG
This 253-nucleotide ribosomal RNA is filed under the name uncultured bacterium. RNAcentral describes it as "partial 16S ribosomal RNA". It matches the Rfam family "Bacterial small subunit ribosomal RNA", at positions 524 to 776 of the family's 1533-position model. The record is from RNAcentral.